AUUGAACGCUGGCGGCAGGCCUAACACAUGCAAGUCGAGCGGAUGAAGGGAGCUUGCUCCUGGAUUCAGCGGCGGACGGGUGAGUAAUGCCUAGGAAUCUGCCUGGUAGUGGGGGAUAACGUCCGGAAACGGGCGCUAAUACCGCAUACGUCCUGAGGGAGAAAGUGGGGGAUCUUCGGACCUCACGCUAUCAGAUGAGCCUAGGUCGGAUUAGCUAGUUGGUGGGGUAAAGGCCUACCAAGGCGACGAUCCGUAACUGGUCUGAGAGGAUGAUCAGUCACACUUGAACUGAGACACGGUCCAGACUCCUACGGGAGGCAGCAGUAGGGAAUAUUGGACCAUGAGGGAAAGCCUGAUCCAGCCAUGCCGCGUGUGUGAAGAAGGUCUUCGGAUUGUAAAGCUCUUAAAGUUGGGAGGAAGAGCAGUAAGUUAAGACCUUGCUGUUUUGACGUUACCAACAGAAUAAGCACCGGCUAACUUCGUG
RNAcentral lists this ribosomal RNA (484 nucleotides) under uncultured bacterium. RNAcentral's name for it is "partial 16S ribosomal RNA". It matches the Rfam family "Bacterial small subunit ribosomal RNA", at positions 30 to 507 of the family's 1533-position model. The record is from RNAcentral.